GACGAACGCUGGCGGCGUGCUUAACACAUGCAAGUCGAACGGAAAGGCCCUGCUUUUGUGGGGUGCUCGAGUGGCGCACGGGUGAGUAACACGUGAGUAACCUGCCCUUGUCUUUGUGAUAACUUCAGGAAACUGGGGCUCAUACCGGGUAGGAGCUCCUGCUGCAUGGUGGUGGUUGGAAAGUUUCGGCCGUGCGGGAUGGACUCGCGGCUUAUCCGCUUGUUGGUGGGGUAGUGGAUUACCAAGGCUUUGACGGGUAGCCGGCCUGGGAGGGUUGCCGGCCACAAUGGGCCUGAGAUACGGCCCAGACGCCUACGGGAGGCAGCAGUGGGGAAUAUUGCACAAUGGGCGGAAGCCUGAUGCAGCAACGCCGCGUGCGGGAUGACGGCCUUCGGGGUGUAAACCGCUUUCGCCUGUGACGAAGCGUGAGUGACGGUAAUGGGUAAAGAAGCACCGGCUAACUACGUG
RNAcentral lists this ribosomal RNA (468 nucleotides) under uncultured bacterium. RNAcentral's name for it is "partial 16S ribosomal RNA". It matches the Rfam family "Bacterial small subunit ribosomal RNA", at positions 28 to 507 of the family's 1533-position model. The record is from RNAcentral.